Molecule: unclassified non-coding RNA, 118 nt
Organism: Pongo abelii (Sumatran orangutan)
Lineage: Eukaryota; Metazoa; Chordata; Mammalia; Primates; Hominidae
Rfam family: Metazoan signal recognition particle RNA
About the family: The signal recognition particle (SRP) is a universally conserved ribonucleoprotein. It is involved in the co-translational targeting of proteins to membranes.
Source: Ensembl
GCUGGAUGCGGUGGCUCACAUCUGUAAUCCCAGCACUUUGGGAGGCUGAGGUGGGUGGAUCACCUGAGGCCAGGAGUUUGAGACCAGCCUGGCCAAACAUGGUGAGACCCCACCUCUA